ACGAACGCUGGCGGCGUGCCUAAUACAUGCAAGUAGAACGCUGAAGAGAGGAGCUUGCUCUUCUUGGAUGAGUUGCGAACGGGUGAGUAACGCGUAGGUAACCUGCCUUGUAGCGGGGGAUAACUAUUGGAAACGAUAGCUAAUACCGCAUAACAAUGGAUGACACAUGUCAUUUAUUUGAAAGGGGCAAAUGCUCCACUACAAGAUGGACCUGCGUUGUAUUAGCUAGUAGGUGAGGUAACGGCUCACCUAGGCGACGAUACAUAGCCGACCUGAGAGGGUGAUCGGCCACACUGGGACUGAGACACGGCCCAGACUCCUACGGGAGGCAGCAGUAGGGAAUCUUCGGCAAUGGGGGCAACCCUGACCGAGCAACGCCGCGUGAGUGAAGAAGGUUUUCGGAUCGUAAAGCUCUGUUGUAAGUCAAGAACGAGUGUGAGAGUGGAAAGUUCACACUGUGACGGUAGCUUACCAGAAAGGGACGGCUAACUACGUGCCAGCAGCCGCGGUAAUACGUAGGUCCCGAGCGUUGUCCGGAUUUAUUGGGCGUAAAGCGAGCGCAGGCGGUUUGAUAAGUCUGAAGUUAAAGGCUGUGGCUCAACCAUAGUUCGCUUUGGAAACUGUCAAACUUGAGUGCAGAAGGGGAGAGUGGAAUUCCAUGUGUAGCGGUGAAAUGCGUAGAUAUAUGGAGGAACACCGGUGGCGAAAGCGGCUCUCUGGUCUGUAACUGACGCUGAGGCUCGAAAGCGUGGGGAGCGAACAGGAUUAGAUACCCUGGUAGUCCACGCCGUAAACGAUGAGUGCUAGGUGUUGGAUCCUUUCCGGGAUUCAGUGCCGCAGCUAACGCAUUAAGCACUCCGCCUGGGGAGUACGACCGCAAGGUUGAAACUCAAAGGAAUUGACGGGGGCCCGCACAAGCGGUGGAGCAUGUGGUUUAAUUCGAAGCAACGCGAAGAACCUUACCAGGUCUUGACAUCCCGAUGCUAUUUCUAGAGAUAGAAAGUUACUUCGGUACAUCGGUGACAGGUGGUGCAUGGUUGUCGUCAGCUCGUGUCGUGAGAUGUUGGGUUAAGUCCCGCAACGAGCGCAACCCCUAUUGUUAGUUGCCAUCAUUCAGUUGGGCACUCUAGCGAGACUGCGGGUAAUAAACCGGAGGAAGGUGGGGAUGACGUCAAAUCAUCAUGCCCCUUAUGACCUGGGCUACACACGUGCUACAAUGGUUGGUACAACGAGUUGCGAGUCGGUGACGGCAAGCUAAUCUCUUAAAGCCAAUCUCAGUUCGGAUUGUAGGCUGCAACUCGCCUACAUGAAGUCGGAAUCGCUAGUAAUCGCGGAUCAGCACGCCGCGGUGAAUACGUUCCCGGGCCUUGUACACACCGCCCGUCACACCACGAGAGUUUGUAACACCCGAAGUCGGUGAGGUAACCUUUUGGAGCCAGCCGCCUAAGGUGGGAU
Molecule: ribosomal RNA, 1455 nt
Filed under: uncultured organism
Description: 16S ribosomal RNA
Rfam family: Bacterial small subunit ribosomal RNA
Source: RNAcentral